AUACGGAGGGGGCUAGCGUUGUUCGGAAUUACUGGGCGUAAAGCGUACGUAGGCGGACUGAUCAGUUGGGGGUGAAAUCCCAGGGCUUAACCCUGGAACUGCCUUCAAUACUGUCAGUCUUGAGUUUGGGAGAGGUGAGUGGAAUUCCUAGUGUAGAGGUGAAAUUCAUAGAUAUUAGGAGGAACACCAGUGGCGAAGGCGGCUCACUGGCCCAUUUCUGACGCUGAGGUACGAAAGCGUGGGGAGCAAACAGGAUUAGAAACCCCGGUAGUCC
RNAcentral lists this ribosomal RNA (274 nucleotides) under uncultured bacterium. Its description in RNAcentral is "partial 16S ribosomal RNA". It matches the Rfam family "Bacterial small subunit ribosomal RNA", at positions 523 to 796 of the family's 1533-position model. The record is from RNAcentral.